CGCCCUCAAGCUGUCGGCGUCGGCUCGCCGGCCAUCGGGAGCCUCGCAACGCAGGCACCGUUCGUCUGAUAGGUUCUCCGUCCCCCCUCCGAGCGCUCUCUCUUUUUUGCUCUCUUGAAAGCCCUAUCGGGCGAUACGGGGUUCGGAAGCCCUCCGANNNNNNNNNNNNNNNNNNNNGUCGGCGUCGGCUCGCCGGCCACCGGGAGCCUCGCAACGGAGGCACCGUUCGUCUGAUAGGUUCUCCGUCCCCCCUCCGAGCGCUCUCUCUUUUUUGCUCUCUUGAAAGCCCUAUCGGGCGAUACGGGGUUCGGAAGCCCUCCGACGGCCACCGCCGGCCUCCGACGGCUUCCACCUUCCUCCCCUUUCCUCUCUUUCUCACUUUUCAUUUUUUUUUCUUCGGUACCGUCGGUGUAUCGAUUUUACCGAUCGAAUCGUGCUGGUUCUCCAUCGGUCCGGUACGAGAUGGGGUGUAUCGGCCGGUUCGGCACGGUAUAGCAAACCUUGGUUAGAGGCUUUUGCUCCAGAUGAUGAGGCACAGAUUGAGGCUGUCAUUCAGGCGAGCUUGACUAAUCAGUAACGGCAGGAGAUGGCCUGGUAUAGAGAGCGAUUUGGACAAUCAUGCUACGAAUCGUGGUCUGGAUCAGCGAUUGGUGGGGGAGAAUUCGAGUUCAGGAGGACUAUCUCAGUCAGAGAGGCCGGUGGUAGAGGGAGCAGACACAGCAUAUCUUCUUUGUUGGAAGCUUUUGGCAGUAGGAAGAGGUCCUCCAGAGAUAUUCCAGUAGGAGCCACCAUCUAUGAUUUGGAUCCACAUGCUUUGCCCAGCAAGGAUUCAAAGCAGCAGAGGAUUGACACUAUGGUGAAAAAAGAUAAGAAGGAUAUGUGGCGAGCUAUUGGAUCAUGAUUUUAUUUCAGUCAUAUUCUAGCAAAUGCAGCGGUCAAUCUUUACUACCGAUUUGCUAUUUUAGCCAUAGAGACUGCCGGUCAGGGUGUAGAUCCGUCAGGACCCAGAGACAUUUAUGGUCAGCUUCUUGACAGCAACAAAGAGAAUUUGUAGAGAUGGAUUGCUUCUUACAAAAAUAAAUGGUCUACAUACGGACUGACAGUAAUGUGUGAUGGUUAGAUCGGUUCUACUAGACGGAGCAUCAUUAAUUUUUUGACAUACUGUGAUGGAAAAAUAUUUUUUCACAAAUCAAUUGAUGCUUCAGAUAAGAUGCAUGACGCCACAUAUAUCUUUGGUUUGAUGGUGGAGGUGAUUGAUUCAGUGGGUGAGCAGCAUGUCGUGUAGGUCAUCACAGAUAAUGGACCACAAUAUAAAACUGUCGGAGAGUUGCUAAUGGAGCAGCGACUGCAGAUAUACUGGAUCCCAUGUGCUGCACAUUGUAUUGAUCUUAUAUUGAUGGAUAUUGAGAAGAUUCGUAGGGUGUAGCAGGUAGUGGAGAUUGUCCAGACUAUUACUAGAUUCAUCUACAACCACACAUGGGUUCUUUCAUUGAUGCGGACGUAUACUGGGGGGAGAUCUUAAGACCGAAUAUCACACGAUUUGCUACCAACUACAUAGCACUUGAUAGUCUUCUUCAGAAGAAAGCAGUCUUACGUCAGAUGUUUGUUUGUGCCGAGUGGCAGGAGAGCAGAUAUGCGAGGGCCGACACUGAUGGAAGUUAUAUGGAGAAUUUGAUGAUGAGUCAGUCAUUCUGGCAGCGGGUUGAGAAGGUAGUGAAGGCUAUUAAGUCAUUAUAUGAAGUGCUUCGCAUCGUGGACAGUAAAAGAUACCCCUAGAUGGGCUUCUUAUAUUACAUGAUGGAUAGGACAAAGAAAUACAUCAGUGAGAAUGAUCCGAAGCAUGCUCAAGAAUUCAUUAACAUCAUUGAGCACCGUUGGGACAUCAGAUGGGUAGAGAUUUGCAUCUAGCCAGUAAGCACGGAUUCAAGAAUAUUUUAAAAUAUUUUUUCUUAUGCUUGUAAAAGUGUACUUAAUCAGUCAUGAAAUUUAUCUGCAGCUUAUUAUUUGAAGCCGAGAUUUUAGUAUACCAUUCUCGGGUAGAUAUGGACAAUGAGCUUCUUGCUGCUCUUUGUAAUGUGAUAUAUAAGAUGGUACCUGAUUCAGAAAUCGCGUCGUUGUGUCUGCAAGAGAUGCUAGUUUAGGACAGAUGUGAUUAUUCAACUGAAUUCGAUCUAUACUCAACGAUAUAUUUAUAAAUUUAAUAAAUAUAUUUUUUUAUAGACGAAACAGUUUAGAGAGGGAUCAGACAGUUUUGGAGUUCCAUCAGUUGUCGUAAGCAAAAAGCAGAUGAAUCCAGGUAAAUUACAUAUCAAUAAUGAGUAGCAUAGAUUGAUAUGUAAUUUUACUUAAUAAUAUCAUAAAAUUUGAUAUGUAAUUUUGCUUUUGCAGCUGAACGGUGGAUUCAUUUUGGAAUAUCUGUAGAACAUUUGAGAGGUGUGGCUGUUCGUAUUCUUUCUCAGACGGUCUCUGCUAGUGGUUGUGAGUGUAAUUGGUCGACUUUCGUCCUUAUCCACAGCAAACAGAAAAAUCAUCUGACACAAAUGCCUCAACGAUCUUGUAUAUAUUCACUACAAUUUGAGAUUGAGGCUAAAAUGCAUUCAGGAGGAAGUACAGCCGAAGUACAUUGAUCCGACGCUAGAUGAUUAUGUUGACGAGGACGACGAUCCGAUCAUCGAAUGGCUUGCAGGUCAGCAGCAGAAGCCAGAGCUUGAUGAGGCAGGAUCCCCUCCACAAUCAGCCAGUGUGGUAGCUAGGAAGAUCAGGGUGGAUCUAGGGCAAUGGGCAAAAAAAAAUAUUUCAUAUAAGGUUCCAGCUGAUCAGCCACAGCCUGAGGAGAUACGGGGGACUCAUUCAUCACAUGACUCGAUGUCCGAUAUAUCUUCGCAGAGGUUCGAGCGACAGAUGUAUAGACGAGGUCGGCAGUCAGCAAAAAGAUAUCCAUCUUCUCAAUCACAGGAAACUCGAUCACAGAGGGGCAUAAAGGGGAAAAAGAAAAGACAGUUGCACGUGCACCACUCUUGAGAGUACAGGAGCUAUCUGGCUCAGAUUCAGACACCAGGGAGAGAUGAUGAUACUGGUAAUAGUAGCCAUGGAUCUGAUGAUCGGGGAGGAACUGGAGGAUAGGAGAUCACUGUUUAUGAGACACAAUCACAGGGUGAUAUUCGAUUCACCGAUGAGUCCCAGUUUACACAUGCCACACAAGAUAGGAAUCAUGAUGGACGAGUCGGUAGAGCGUGGGGAGUUGAUUUCAUAUAGACGACGGACUCUUAGAGGUCGUCCAGCACACGAUGCAGCUGCAGAUGAUCUUGCACAUGGAGUAGGAUCCAUGGAUGUAUUUGGAUCUUUGCAUUAUGGUUCCUAUUAUCUGCAGUCACUUAUGAUUCAUAUGGAUAUGGUGCAUCCGAGGCAUCGUCUUCUAGUGGUUACUACCCUAUGCAGUCUGGAGCAUCUUACGGAUCAGAUUUUGCUAUCGGCAUAUUCGGAUGGGCUCCUCCACAGCUAUACCACAUCUCGAGGAUACUUCUCAGAGUCAGAGUUUGAGUGAGAUCUGAGAUAUCUUACAAUCCAGAGAGGAUGCUCUAUGGAAUGAAUAUUCAAGAGUACGGUGCAUCUUGGUAGAGGGUUGGACGAUGUUCCUUCAGAUUAUGUUAAUGAUCCAGAUAUCUACGAGCGUCACAGACACCCAAUGAGAAAUUAAAUACAGAAUAGAUCUUGAGGUUAGUAUAUCAGUUGUGCUUUGUACUUUAAACGUUUAGAUAUAUUUUAAUGCAUGUUUUAUAUAUUUUUUAAAAAUUUUAGGAUGAUAUAGUUGUAAUAUAAUAUAAUAAAUAUAUAUUUGAAAUUUUGGAUCAAGAGUUCUUGUACCGCUAUUUAACUAAAAAAUUGAACCCAAAUAUGUCAAUAAUAUGCAAGAUAAUGCAAUUUUGGGGUUGUAUUUAUGAAUUAAUAACUUGAACAUCCACAAAAAAAAUGAAACAAAAAAAAAUGUAUCGAGGUCUGUCCGAUAUCGGUACAGCGGUCCUUAGUCCCAAGGUCUGUCCCAAGCCUAAGAAUCUCUCCCUAAAGAGGGUAAUAUGAGGAGGACACCUCUUCAUUCUUAUGCUCCCCCUGAAGAGAUGACUUAGUGGAGAAAUAAGGCUUAGAUUCCCUAAAUGUGACAUCCAUGCUAACAAAAUAUUUUUUUGAAGGUGGGUGAUAACAUUUAUAUCCCUUUUGAGUAUCAGAGUAACCCACAAACACACAUUUAAGAGCUUUAUGUUCUAACUUUCCAACAUUUGUUUUAAGAACAAAACAAACACAACCAAAGAUCUUUGGGGGAACAGUAUAAGCAGCAUUUGUCAUAUCGUGCCGAACCGGUCGGUACACCCCGUAUCGUAUCAGACUGGCGGGUAACCGGCACGAUUCGGCCGAUAAAUUCGGUACACCGACGGUACGGAAGGAAAAAAGAGAGAGAGAGAGAGAGGAGGAGAGGGAGGGAGGUGGGAGCCAUCGGAGGCCGACAGUGGCCGUCGGAUUGCUUCGGAGCUCCGUAUCGCUCGAUAGGACUUUCAAGAGAGUGAGAAAGAGAGAGAGAGAGCGCUCGGAGGGGGAAGGGACCUACCGGACGAACGGUGCCUCCGUCGCGAGGCCCCUAGUGGCCGAUGAGUUGAGACGACGGCCUGAGGGCGGUCGAGCGGGCGGAACCCCUUCGCGGCUCCGCCCCCUUUUUUGAAACAGACGGAUGUCUGUUUCGAUUUUUUUUUUUGUUUAAACUCAUGAAGUCGGCAACCCAGUUGCCGACUUAAGGGAUUUUUUUUUAAAAAAACAAAAAUCAUGAAGCCGGCAAACUAUUUGCCGGCUUCACUUAAAACUAUCUUUUUAAAAAAAACUCAGCUUCACUUAAAACUAUCUUUUUAAAAAAAACUCGCGAAACUGGGGCGACGCCCCUGUUUCACGCCCGCGGUGCCGCGCGUGCGGAUUGCACCCUUCGGCGGCCAUGGCGGCCAGAGGCCGUCCGGCGGCCCCACCGGCUUCUUCCCCUCCCUCUUUUUCUUUCUUCCUCUCUCUCUAUUUCUCUCUCUCUCUUUUUCUUCUUCCAGUUCGGGUCCGCUUGCCUUCGUCGGUUCGGUAUGGUACGAAACCGUACCGAACCAUACCGUCGGCCGGCCGAUACAGCCGACGGUACCGGUUCAGCAUACCUUGAGUAUAAGAAUUACUAUCCUGUAAAAUCUUUAAAGGAUUCUUAAAAUUCAGUAUUCUAAGAGGCAUUCUAUUGAUAAGAUAUGCUACAGAAAGAACAGCAUCCCCCCAAUAAGGUGUAGGAAGGUUCAUGGUAAACAUAAGGGAUCGGGCCACUCCAAGUAAAUGUCUAUUCUUUCUCUCGGACACUCCAUUUUAUGCACUAGUAUUUACACUAGUCUGGUGCACAAUUCCAUUUGAAUCUAAAUAGGCAUGAAAGACUCCAUUUAUAUUAUUAUCAGUUCUUAGAAUCUUAACCUGAGCAUCAAACUAUGUACAAAUUAUUUUGUGAAUCUGUUGAAAGCAAGAAAAUACUUCAUGUUUUGCUUUCAUCAAGUAAAUUCAAGUCAAUCUAGUGCAACAAUCAAUAAAAGUGACAAACCUUCUAUAAUCGGACAAAGACCCUGUUUGGGUAGGCCCCCAUAUAUCAAAAUGAAUAGUCAUAAAAGGAACCAAACUUUUAUUAUUUAUUGGAGGAUAAGAAUGUCUUGUGUAUUUAGCAAAUUCACAAGCAUCACGAACUAGCAAUUCUGGUUUGCAUUGUCUAAAGAAAAUAGGAUAUAACCUUUUUAAAGCAGAAAAAGAAGGAUAUGCUAAUUGUCUAUGCCACUGGAUGAUCUCUUGUUCAGCACUCAUAGAAUGUCCUAACAAAGCUUGGUUGGGAUCAGGAUUUGAGAGACCACAAGUGUCAUCCAAAAGAUACAGGCCAUCUUGCAAUCUACCACUGCUAAUCGUUCUCCCUGUUUUCAACUCCUGAAAUAUGCAAUGAGUAGGAAAAAAUUCAAUUUUGCGGUUAAGGGCUUUAAUAAUAGAAUUAACAGACAAAAGAUUAAUAGAAAUGCUAGAAACAUGAAGAAUUGAAGCUAGAUUUAUGGUGGUAGUACAUUUAACAGAACCUGUUCUAGAAAUAGUGGCUAAGAACCCGUCCGCUAUAUGGACUUUCUUUUCUUGAACAUGGAGAAUAUGUUAAAAAUUUAUUUGGAGAGCCUGUCAUGUGUUUGUUUGCUCCAGAAUCUAUAACCCAAAAAGUUUUUUCAAGAUUUGCAAGAAAAGCAUUAUCUGAUUUGACAAAAAUAGAAGAGACAGCAGUAGUAGAUUGAGAUUCAAGCUGAGACAACAAACGCCUUAGGGAUUGAACUUCUUCAUUAGAUAAAAUCUCAGUAUUAUUUGUUUCCUCAGAGAAAUCCAUUGUUUCAGACACAUUCGCUUGUGGUCUUGAUGAACCCAUUUGCUUACUACCACGCCCUUUGGCUGGGUGACCAUGCAGUUUCCAGCAAUGUUUUUUAGUAUGCCGAGACUUGCCACAGUAGUCACAGUGUAACUGAUCCUUGUCUGGAGGAUCUUGAUGAGGAACAUGUGAUUGCUCUCAUGAAGAGGCAGCUACUAGCCCUGCCUUGUCAACAGAGGAUGAAUGGAUCAUGACACUCCUUCGACUCUCCUCUUGUUGGACAUAUGAGUAUGUUUGCCUCAAGGAAGGUAUAGGAUCCUUUCCAAGUACUUAAAUCCAUAUCUGAUCAUACUCUAUAUUCAAGCCAGCAAGAAAAUCAUAUAUGCGUUCAUUUUCAAUUAAUUUCGGAAACUUAACAGCAUUAGCAGCACAUGUGGCUUGAAAGUCCUGAUAGUAAUUCAGUUUCUGUCAUAAACUACUAAAUUCAGUAAAGUACUGUGCAAUAGUCAUCUCAUUUUGUUUCGUUUCAGAAACUUUGUUAUGGAGCUCGUAGAUCUGUGCAUUAUUGCCCAUUUGAGAGUAGGUUUGAGAAACUGCAUUCCAAAUAGUGGCUGCACUGUUCAACAACAAAUACCCCCGAGCAAUCUGAGGUUGCAUAGAAUUGAUAAGCCAAGACAUCACAAGUGAGUUUUCUGAUUCCCAUUGAGUAUAAUUAGAACUGGUAAUUUUUGGUUUUGGACUAUCCCCAGUAAUAUACCCUUGUAGUCCUUUAGCUUGAAUGAACAAAAGACAGGAUCUAGACCAUGCUGGAUAAUUAGUUCCAUCGAGCUCAACGGGACUGAUUUGUAAGAUGGGUUAUCACUCACAAAGGCCAAUUUUGUUUCAGUCACAGCCCUCUUUUCCUCAGUCAUGUUUCAGCAAAUAGGAGNNNNNNNNNNNNNNNNNNNNGAUAAUUAGUUCCAUCGAGCUCAACGGGACUGAUUUGUAAGAUGGGUUAUCACUCACAAAGGCCAAUUUUGUUUCAGUCACAGCCCUCUUUUCCUCAGUCAUGUUUCAGCAAAUAGGAGAAAAAGCACCGAAGAAACAAAACACUUAGCACCAGUAAAAAGAAAAGCAAACCAGGUCAAGAACCAAGGCUGGGCAGAGGCACGACACACGAGGAAGGAUGCAGAAAAAGGAAUGGUCGGAAAAAGCUGCCGAAAAAGAGGUCCAUGCGCCGGCACUUGGAAAGGAGGCUAUGGCUUGUGAUGGCACGUGGAGCCACGUGCUUCACCGGACGGUGAUGAUUUUUUGGUGGCGGGCCGAUCGGCGGCUGGGCUUCCUCCUAGGGCAGGCGGUGACACUCAACCCCCCCUGUAAUAGGUCACUAGAUGUUUGACCCAAAAACCCUAAUAUGGCUUUGAUACCAUGAAGAAAACAGAAAUUUGGAGAGAAUUUCUUUGUAUCUUUCUGAAUAAUAAUGCUCUUUACAUAGCUCCUAUUUAUAUGCAUCCACUAGUCCUAGAAUAGGAAGCUAAAUAAUUAUAAAAGGAAACAGAAAUAAUUAGAGGAAUCAGCUAUAUACAGACACUGAAAUUAAUUCCUAAUAAUUUGGGAUUCUUAUAAUCAUGGGAUUCCAACAGAUGCCAUACCUGUAACUUACCUGUAUGAGUCAAGCUGCUGUAGUAAGCCGUCGUACCAACACAUGCUACAUUUUUGGAGUUGAGAUUGCUGCAGUUCCAUGUGUCGGUAUGAGGAUGUACCAAGCAGCUAUACCAUACUAGCAGCAUAGUGGAUGGGGAUGGUAUUGUCCAUACAGCCAGUACAGCUUGGUACUGUAAACCCUGUAAGCCAUUUUGAAAAUGUGCUUUAUGCCUUUACCCUUAUAGUCAGGACUGAUUUUGGGUGGCAAUUUACUAGAUUGGCUUGAAUUUUUCAUGUUCAAAUAAUUCUUGUUUCAAGUGCUUGGAGUUGGCAUGACCAUAUAUCUUGGUGUACAUAAACUUUGGCCUAAAUUAGAGUAGAGUGUCUGAUGGAAUGGAUAUGCGCAUGCUAAGCUCUAACCUAAUAAUUGUUGCUAUAUUCUAGGCUUGGACCGAGCUUAAGUAGACCUCAUUCCGAAGUAGUCCAAUCAAUUGACAUUAUGAAAAAAAAAUUGUGGGAUGAUGUGAACAAGAUCUAUGCCUACUUGGAGAAAAGAGGUAAUGAGCGCGAUAGUAAAAACUUCUCUCUUCCCUUAAAGGUAUCCAACAAGAAGAAAGAGAGGAAUGCUGAGUACCCUCUAGGCAUCCAUCAAGAAGACUAGAAGAAGGGAUAAUUAGAAGAAACCCAUCUUUUGAAAUGAUCAACCUAGUUGCUCCUCCAAUUACUGGGCUAUGCUAUUUUUAGUAGAAUAUUUUUAAGCAUAUAUAUGCAAACAUUAGUGACCAAGAGACUUUUGAAAAGAGACAAUGCAUGAACUGAAAUGACAAGUUUCAAAAAGAGAAUUCCCCUAGUGAGGUAAUAAGUUAAAUGUAACCACCCUCAUCACAUUCUUCAGUCGUCAAAAGAAAAAAAGAAGUCAUGGAUGGGUUAUCAUCAAUUGGGGUGGGAGGGGGGGCGCGAGCAGGUGCUGUCUAAUAGUGGAGGUCUCCAUGCACUUAAUUCCAAAUCAACCUGAGAUAAAACACUGAAGAUUUUAGAUAGAACAAGAAUGAAGCUUAAUUCCUGGAAGUAUGUUACUAGUGGGAUGCAUGUUGGCAUUGUCGGGACAUCAAUCCUUGGGUCUAGUAUUUUGCAUAUUCGUUUCUAUAUUCACAUAACCGAUCACAAGGAUCCAAUAUGGAUGGUUUGUUCCAUAAUUUGACUUUUGGCGAGCCUAUUUAGAAACUCAUUACCUCGUUAUGGUCCAAAUAUCAAGUUGUUGUGGUUGGCAUUAGACAUUGUUCCACAUGGUGUUGAUGCUUUGCUUUCAACUACAUAAUAAAGUCCACAAUUCUAUUAAAAAAUUUGCAUACAAUAGUCUUAGAUACAAAUAGAGUAAUUGUUACAGGGGGGGUUCGUGGAAUCAUCCUGAACUGUUGGGUUCAAGGCAUGUCGAUCCAUGUUGACAGCGGAUUGGGAUGGUUUGACAGUCGAAAGGAGAUAUCGGUGAAAGAGGGGAAGGAGAAGGAAAGAGGAAAGGGGAGAGGGAGAGAAGGGGGAGGGGGAGGGAGAGAAGGUCAUUGGAGGCCUCUGUAGGGCUGUCGUAUCCAUGGAAUUCUUUAUCGAUCUUAACCGGCUGGUACAUCUCGUAUUGAGCCGGAUCGGAGGGGAAUUGGGACAGUUCGGCCAAGGAAAAUGAUGCACCAGAGGAGGGAGAGGGAAAGAGAGAGAGAGGAGGGGAGGAAGAUAUAGCACGAUGCCGUCGGAGGUUGGUGGUGGGCCGCAGAGGCCUCUACAGCUCGACGUCGUUCGAUAGGGUACUUAAUCGAGCAAGAAAGAAAGAAAAAAGGAGAGCGACGUACCGGAGGGAGGCGCAGCCAGCGGAGGGGUUGUCGGAGUUUGCCGAGUGGCCGUCGUGGCUACCGGACGGUGGAAACCGCACGGGCUGAGCCGCGGCCGUGGAACAGGGGUGAUCAUCUCUAUUCACGCACCGGCUCUUUUUUUAAAAAACGAAGAUGAACAGUGAAGCCGGCAAACACUUUGUCAAUUUCACUGUUUGAUAUUUUUUAAAAAAAGCUAAGAAAUAGUGAGGCCGACAAAUCUAUUGCUGGCUUCAUUGUAAUUGGGAUUUUAAAAAAAAUUAUGAAACAGGGCGAUAGCCUCUGUCUCACUCGCGGCAUCGAAGGCCACGAUUGCGCCGUCCGACGGCCAUGACAGCUAGCUAGUAGCCCUCCGACGGCUUUCUCUCCUUUUC
This 10241-nucleotide long non-coding RNA is filed under the name Elaeis guineensis (African oil palm). Its description in RNAcentral is "long non-coding RNA (EGUI_LNC001476)". The record is from RNAcentral. Lineage: Eukaryota; Viridiplantae; Streptophyta; Magnoliopsida; Arecales; Arecaceae.